CCCUGGUUUUGUUAUUAUCUUUGUCGUCCGCGCCAUAAGUAAAAAAUUGGCUAGCACGAAAAUGUGCCAAGAGUUGACGCUAGUAUGGUGUCGACUUCAUUGUUUUUGGCUUUGAUGACUCGUGCUAAAAGGUUCCCAAAAGUCAUUAAAUUAAUGAAACUUAAAGCACCAAUCUUCAUUCACAAGACCAAAGGUAAUAACCAAAGAUGGUAUUAAUCCCAUUUUUCAAAAAAUGCGUAUCCAAGUGACAAUUACUUCUGCCAUCGUCUUCUGCCAUUACGAUAGAAAAUGAUUCUCAUCCAUCAAGAAAACUGUACCAAAUGGAAAGCCUUACUCCGUAGAGUCCGACAAUUUAACCAACUGGUGUGGUAACCCACUAACACGAAUGGGCCGAAAUCCGAAAAAGAAGUAUAAUUGCGAUUCACAUUUUAAGCCAUUGUGCCAUUGAACUGCGCUGAUUAGCUAUUUCUUUGGUUAGCAACAGUGACAUUCGUGACACUCGAUCGAUUAAACAAAAGCUAGCUACCACGAAAACCCGGGCUGCCAUAAUAA
Molecule: long non-coding RNA, 552 nt
Organism: Daphnia magna
Lineage: Eukaryota; Metazoa; Arthropoda; Branchiopoda; Diplostraca; Daphniidae
Exons: 2
Source: RefSeq, a predicted model, not a curated record